RNAcentral lists this ribosomal RNA (440 nucleotides) under uncultured bacterium. RNAcentral's name for it is "partial 16S ribosomal RNA". It matches the Rfam family "Bacterial small subunit ribosomal RNA", at positions 338 to 795 of the family's 1533-position model. The record is from RNAcentral.
CCUACGGGAGGCAGCAGUGGGGAAUAUUGCACAAUGGGGGAAACCCUGAUGCAGCGACGCCGCGUGAGUGAAGAAGUAAUUCGUUACGUAAAGCUCUAUCAGCAGGGAAGAAAAUGACGGUACCUGAGUAAGAAGCCCCGGCUAACUACGUGCCAGCAGCCGCGGUAAUACGUAGGGGGCAAGCGUUAUCCGGAUUUACUGGGUGUAAAGGGAGCGUAGACGGUGCGCCAAGUCUGGGGUGAAAUGCCGCAGCUUAACUGCGGAACUGCUUUGGAUACUGGGAAGCUGGAGUGCAGGAGGGGUAAGCAGAAUUCCUGGUGUAGCGGUGAAAUGCGUAGAGAUCAGGAGGAACACCGACGGCGAAGGCGGCUUACUGGACUGUAACUGACGUUGAGGCUCGAAGGCGUGGGGAGCAAACAGGAUUAGAUACCCUAGUAGUC